CAAUUGCGCUCAGUUAUAUGUGGGUGCUUGGUGGUACAAAAGCUGUCAUGCCUGUAAUCUAAAUGGCGAGUAUUUAAGGGGCUCAACCACACUCUAUGGUAGAGGAGUUAUUUGGAAUGCAUUUCGGGCCCUUUAUUAUUCUUUGAAAUUUGUUGAAUUGUCCAUACGUCCUAAAUUAUUUUAAUGCUUAUUAAUUGAACGGCAAUAUUAAUAAAAUGCUACUAUCUUGCAUGCAAUUAAA
Molecule: long non-coding RNA, 241 nt
Organism: Musca domestica (house fly)
Lineage: Eukaryota; Metazoa; Arthropoda; Insecta; Diptera; Muscidae
Exons: 2
Source: RefSeq, a predicted model, not a curated record